UCCGGCCUACGGGGGGUAGCAGUAGGGAAUCUUCCACAAUGGACGAAAGUCUGAUGGAGCAACGCCGCGUGAGUGAAGAAGGGUUUCGGCUCGUAAAGCUCUGUUGGUAGUGAAGAAAGAUAGAGGUAGUAACUGGCCUUUAUUUGACGGUAAUUACUUAGAAAGUCACGGCUAACUACGUGCCAGCAGCCGCGGUAAUACGUAGGUGGCAAGCGUUGUCCGGAUUUAUUGGGCGUAAAGCGAGCGCAGGCGGGUCAAUAAGUCUGAUGUGAAAACCUUUGGCUCAACCGGAGAAUUGCAU
This 301-nucleotide ribosomal RNA is filed under the name uncultured bacterium. Its description in RNAcentral is "bacterial SSU rRNA". It matches the Rfam family "Bacterial small subunit ribosomal RNA", at positions 330 to 626 of the family's 1533-position model. The record is from RNAcentral.